RNAcentral lists this long non-coding RNA (293 nucleotides) under Mytilus galloprovincialis (Mediterranean mussel). Lineage: Eukaryota; Metazoa; Mollusca; Bivalvia; Mytilida; Mytilidae. The record is from RNAcentral.
CUAGCAUUAUUUUCCCAUUGACUUCUUGUUCCAAUGAUCGCAUAAUUUCCGUUUUUGCUGUUGUUAUACGUAUCAAUUUAUGAAACAUUUUCGCAUCUUUCGUCCGUGUUUCGAGGAUAUUUUCCUUCUACUUGUUUUUUAGUUAAGCCAGCUCAAUUCGUAAUGCAAGUAUACAGUCAUUUUUAGAUAACUAUUUCUUGUUAUUUUUGUUAUUUUGUUAUUAUUGUGUCUCCCAUAAUUUCCCCAUACUUCAUAUAAUUUCCUUGCUGAUUUUAGUGGUAAUUAAAUUUCUU